UUUCCGUAGGUGAACCUGCGGAAGGAUCAUUACAGAACUCGAACGCGGGGCCCGCCCCGCGGUUUGUUCAUCCCACCCCUAUGUGAACCUCUGGCACACGUGGACCGGUACGGGCCUUGCCGCCCGGAAAGUCUGCGCGUGCGUACCUACCGUACCCCAGUGCAAGUCUCAGGAUGUACCUUGCGUUUGACCGCAAUAUAUACAACUUUCAGCAACGGAUCUCUUGGCUCUCGCAUCGAUGAAGAACGCAGC
This 252-nucleotide unclassified non-coding RNA is filed under the name uncultured fungus. Its description in RNAcentral is "sequence contains ITS1, 5.8S rRNA gene". The stretch from base 204 to 252 matches the Rfam family "5.8S ribosomal RNA", at positions 1 to 49 of the family's 154-position model. Lineage: Eukaryota; Fungi. The record is from RNAcentral.